This 421-nucleotide ribosomal RNA is filed under the name uncultured bacterium. RNAcentral describes it as "bacterial SSU rRNA". It matches the Rfam family "Bacterial small subunit ribosomal RNA", at positions 30 to 452 of the family's 1533-position model. The record is from RNAcentral.
AUUGAACGCUGGCGGCAGGCCUAACACAUGCAAGUCGAGCGGUAGAGAGGUGCUUGCAUCUCUUGAGAGCGGCGGACGGGUGAGUAAUGCCUAGGAAUCUGCCUAGUGGUGGGGGAUAACGUUCGGAAACGGACGCUAAUACCGCAUACGUCCUACGGGAGAAAGCGGGGGAUCUUCGGACCUCGCGCCAUUAGAUGAGCCUAGGUCGGAUUAGCUAGUUGGUGAGGUAAUGGCUCACCAAGGCGACGAUCCGUAACUGGUCUGAGAGGAUGAUCAGUCACACUGGAACUGAGACACGGUCCAGACUCCUACGGGAGGCAGCAGUGGGAAUAUUGGACAAUGGGCGAAAGCCUGAUCCAGCCAUGCCGCGUGUGUGAAGAAGGUCUUCGGAUUGUAAAGCACUUUAAGUUGGGAGGAAGGG